RNAcentral lists this ribosomal RNA (443 nucleotides) under Nezara viridula (southern green stink bug). RNAcentral's name for it is "partial 16S ribosomal RNA". Lineage: Eukaryota; Metazoa; Arthropoda; Insecta; Hemiptera; Pentatomidae. The record is from RNAcentral.
GUCGAACAGACCUAGAACUUUAAGCUUCUGCACUUAAAUCUAAUUUUAAUCCAACAUCGAGGUCGCAAACUUUUCCAUCGAUAAGAACUCUCCAGAAAAAUUACGCUGUUAUCCCUAAGGUAAUUUAAUCUAAAUAUCCAUAAAAUAGGAUCCUAAAAAUAAAAAUAAUUAAAUAUUAAAUUAUGAGAGUUUUUUUAAUCUCAAUAUCACCCCAAUAAAAUUAUAAACCAAUAUAAAUAAUAAAAAUAACCAUAAAUUAAAUAUAAAAUUUAUAAUAAAAUUCUAUAGGGUCUUCUCGUCCCACUUAAAAAUUUAAGCUUUUUAACUUAAAAAUUAAAUUCAACUUUUUAAUAUAAAGAAAGUAAUUCCCUCAUCCAACCAUUCAUACAAGCCUUUAAUUAAAAGACAAAUGAUUAUGCUACCUUCGCACAGUCAAGAUACUG